RNAcentral lists this ribosomal RNA (761 nucleotides) under uncultured bacterium. Its description in RNAcentral is "bacterial SSU rRNA". It matches the Rfam family "Bacterial small subunit ribosomal RNA", at positions 28 to 776 of the family's 1533-position model. The record is from RNAcentral.
AUUGAACGCUGGCGGCAGGCUUAACACAUGCAAGUCGAACGGUAACAUAAGAAAAGCUUACUUUUCUUGAUGACGAGUGGCGGACGGGUGAGUAAUGCUUGGGAAUCUGCCUUAUGGAGGGGGAUAACCACGGGAAACUGUGGCUAAUACCGCGUAAUAUCUACGGAUUAAAGUGUGGGACCUACGGGCCACAUGCCAUAAGAUGAGCCCAAGUGAGAUUAGGUAGUUGGUGAGGUAAAGGCUCACCAAGCUGACGAUCUCUAGCUGGUUUGAGAGGAUGACCAGCCACACUGGGACUGUGACACGGCCCAGACUCCUACGGGAGGCAGCAGUGGGGAAUAUUGCACAAUGGGCGCAAGCCUGAUGCAGCCAUGCCGCGUGAAUGAAGAAGGCUUUCGGGUUGUAAAGUUCUUUCAUUAGUGAGAAAGGUACAAAUGUUAAUAGCAUUUGUAAUUGAUGUUAGCUAAAGAAGAAGCACCGGCUAACUCCGUGCCAGCAGCCGCGGUAAUACGGAGGGUGCGAGCGUUAAUCGGAAUAACUGGGCGUAAAGGGCAUGCAGGCGGUUAUUUAAGUCAGAUGUGAAAGCCCCGAGCUUAACUUGGGAAUUGCAUUUGAUACUGGGUAACUAGAGUCCUCUAGGGAGGGGUAGAAUUCCACGUGUAGCGGUGAAAUGCGUAGAGAUGUGGAGGAAUACCGAAGGCGAAGGCAGCCCCUUGGAGAGAGACUGACGCUCAUAUGCGAAAGCGUGGGUAGCAAACAGG